UUGAAUGAUGAAACUUCAAAGAUAGGAAUUGCCGUCUGAUCGACAUAUGAAGCUACUGUCUUUCUGAUC
Planococcus citri (citrus mealybug) is the source of this 69-nucleotide small nucleolar RNA. RefSeq annotates it as small nucleolar RNA SNORD49. The record is from RefSeq and is a predicted model, not a curated record. The transcript has a single exon. NCBI's taxonomy places the organism in Eukaryota, Metazoa, Arthropoda, Insecta, Hemiptera, Pseudococcidae.